This 403-nucleotide ribosomal RNA is filed under the name uncultured bacterium. Its description in RNAcentral is "partial 16S ribosomal RNA". It matches the Rfam family "Bacterial small subunit ribosomal RNA", at positions 28 to 526 of the family's 1533-position model. The record is from RNAcentral.
GACGAACGCUGGCGGCGUGCCUAAUACAUGCAAGUCGAACGCAGUGGGGACGGGCGAGUAACAUGUGGGUAACCUCCCAUCACAGGGGAUAACACUUGGAAACCGGCGCUAUACCCAUACUGAUGGAUGGACCCGCGGUGCAUUAGCCAGUUGGUGGGGGAACGGCUCACCAAGGCCACGAUGCAUAGCCGGCCUGAGAGGGUGAUCGGCCACACUGGAACUGAGACACGGCCCAGACUCCUACGGGAGGCAGCAGUGGGGAAUAUUCGGCAAUGGACGAAAGUCUGACCGAGCAACGCCGCGUGAGUGAAGAAGGUUUUCGGAUCGUAAAGCUCUGUUGUUAGGGAAGCGGUAUCUAACCAGAAAGCAACGGCUAACUCCGUGCCAGCAGCCGCGGUAAUAC